GGAGCUGGUGAACACCUCAACGAGCCACGAGGCGCCGUUGCCUUGGCCGCUAAUCCACCGAAAGUUGCUACUGUUCGCGUAGACACGUGCAUUCGCACAAACUCUCACCCACAUACGUGCCCCCUCGCCUCUACUUGGAAGGCACAGGCACCAAAUAUCGGGCCUCUAAACCGAAAGGAAAACAACAUCAGCAGCUAACGACGGCGGAAACAGCCGAGAACGAGGCGUUGCGGCCGCCACCCAUAGCCCUCGCGCGUGCUUCCCACCCCGCGUCUCCAAUCAAAAUGGGGUGCCGCAGUAGCUGUAUGCUGUGGCUUGCUGUCGCAGCUUUGGCCGUUUUGACACUUCAGCUGCGUAGCGCUGCCGCAGCGCCCAUGGAUCUUUCCAACCCUGUCGAGCACAAUCAUUUUCUUCUGUUAGCACCCUAUGGCGCUAGUCAUCGAUCGGGCGCCGGCGCUGACGGGGAAAACACAGCGCGAUAUGUGCAGCUGAGCAACGGCUCUCGAUUUAUGUGCGAGACCGCGAGCACAAAGCGCCGUGAGCCCCUCGACGCCAAAAGCUACCCACUGCGACAUCAAAUGGAGUCCUUGAUGACCGUUAUGCGGCGUUCCGACCAUCCGUGCGUGCACUACGCAGAGGAGAAUUACGUGACGGUCUACUGCUGGGACAACGAGGUGCGCGAGGAUGCUCUUUCAGAAAACAAAGGCCGCUCCCUGGGGAGGCGGCGGAUCGACGGACCUCAAAUCUACUGGACCUCCAACGACGCGUUCGGCCGGUACGUCGCAACCGUCUACGGCGACGGUGACGAGUGCCCCUACGACAAGGGACGCCGCAUAGAGACGGAGGUGCGCUUCCACUGCCGGUACUCCGAGUUCGAGAACCCGAUUCCGUACAUGAGUCUUCACGAGUCGUCGCAGUGCCGCUAUAUGCUGCGCCUUCUGUCAAGUAAGUUCUGUUCCGUGCCCCAGCUGGAUCACCCAAGCGAGGAGGAGACGGUGCGGUGCCAGAUGUUGGAUGAUUAGCAGAUCAUCGGCGCGCGCGUCUGUUUGUGACUUUGCCGAUGGAGAGGGCGAGCUAGCUCUCCGACGUAUAUGUGCUGCUACUGUGGCUCUCUCAACUCUUCUUUAUAUCCUUGCUGUGGCGUGCAUUAGCUGCGGCGCACUACUCGAGUGCUGCUGUAAGGUUGCUGCUUGUCGCGUGUGUGUUGUGUGUGCAUGCCUUCCUCUUCAUGAGCGGCAGUGCAUCGGCAUUUUGUCUGGCCGAUUGCCGCUUUUGCGGUCUGGUGAGCAGCCUGAUGUACAAUGCCCCUGCUGGUCUGUGAGGAGAACGUGUGUGUAGUAUGCGUGUGCAUGCAUAUCCAUGCACCUCUAGCCAUCAACUCUUUUUCGCUUGAGUGUCUAUGCAGCCUCUCGACACUGAUUACGUGGGGGAACACCUCAACGGGGCGUCUCAGGGUCUAGUACGCCCCAAAUCUGUGUGAGGGAGGCCAGGCAGCCCCACCUAUCCCUGGCAAUGCUCAAUCGCUUCACGUGGUGACAGGGUCAGGCCCUGGACGGUGUUGCGUCGGAGCGACCGGCGACGGUGAGCACUCUUGUGCCAUCCAUAUGAUUAGACAGAGUGCCCACCUGACUCGGACGCAUCCCACCCCCGGCCCUCACGCGCUGCCCACUGGUGUCGGGGGAACCUGAGUGCCACCGCGCGGGGGAUGCGCCACGUGGCGACCGGCACGAUGGGGGAGCGGCUAUGGGGUGGUUGGGUAUCGCACGAGGCAGAGGCCGUGCUCUCCGAUGACUGGGCCGGCGCACUGCUGUUUCACGUCUGUCUGUGGCCGCUUCGCACCACGCGAUGUGGAGCCUGUGACAGGGCCGCGGGAGCGGUGAUGUAGCGUUUGAUCUCGUGCUUCGUGGCAGCGAACGGGCACGUCGAAUAUGACACGAAAAAAAAAACAGAUAAACGCUGCUGUGUGAGAGAUGGAAAGGCGCACACAGCCACACAUCAU
This 1999-nucleotide unclassified non-coding RNA is filed under the name Leishmania donovani. RNAcentral describes it as "gene:LdHU3.36.7270(CDS-product:hypothetical_prote in_conserved)". Lineage: Eukaryota; Euglenozoa; Kinetoplastea; Trypanosomatida; Trypanosomatidae. The record is from RNAcentral.